Small nuclear RNA from Papaver somniferum (opium poppy), 167 nucleotides. RefSeq annotates it as U1 spliceosomal RNA. The record is from RefSeq and is a predicted model, not a curated record. Lineage: Eukaryota; Viridiplantae; Streptophyta; Magnoliopsida; Ranunculales; Papaveraceae. The transcript has a single exon.
UUACUUACCUUGACGGUGACGGGGUCUUUGGCUGAUCGUUAAGGGUCAUGGCCUAGGUCAGUGACUUCCAUUGCACUUUGGAAGGGCGCUCGCCUAAGAUCUAUUCUCACAGAGGUAGAGUCUACGUCGUAAUUUGUUUCUGAGGGCCAAAAUUUUAUCUACUCAUC